This is a long non-coding RNA of Leptonychotes weddellii (Weddell seal), 575 nucleotides long. RefSeq lists it as uncharacterized. The record is from RefSeq and is a predicted model, not a curated record. Lineage: Eukaryota; Metazoa; Chordata; Mammalia; Carnivora; Phocidae.
AUGCAUGUACUCUCUCUCUCUAAAAAAAAAAAAAAAAUUAGAAAAUACUACUGAUGGAUUAACUUGAGUUUAUAUUCAGCAAUCCUUUCAUUCACUGCUACUGUGUUGGCAGGUGAAAUGGGCAUGUGAUGCUUGGAGGGAAAGUAGUCAUCUUGAACUGUGACUUGACCGUGGAAUGGAGGCCGUACCUGGAGGCACAACAAAACAGAAGGAGCCUGAGCCCUGGCGCCAUGGAACAUCAUGACACUGCUGGAUGCUUGCCUCUGGACUUCCACGGGAGAGGGAAAUAAACCACCUUGUCUCCUCAGCACUGGAUCUUGUUAUGUCCAUUUAUUGGAUGGGGAAGUGAUGUCAACGGAAGUGAGGAGAGCUAGACAGAUGUGAUGGCUGGAACUUCUGCAGCUGUAUUGGACCAUGAGGUGACCUAGAAAGUGGAAACCAUUCAAGCUCUGGAUGGCCUACCCCCAGACUGGUUUAAGUGGGAGCGGGAAAAAAAUUAAGUUUUAUCUUGUUACAAUUACUUUAGGUUUUUUGUAAUGUGUAUCCAAACUUAAACCUGAUAUGGUUAUGGUUAA